Molecule: ribosomal RNA, 468 nt
Filed under: uncultured bacterium
Lineage: Bacteria
Description: partial 16S ribosomal RNA
Rfam family: Bacterial small subunit ribosomal RNA
Source: RNAcentral
GACGAACGCUGGCGGCGUGCUUAACACAUGCAAGUCGAACGGAAAGACCCUGCUUUUGUGGGGUGCUCGAGUGGCGAACGGGUGAGUAACACGUGAGUAACCUGCCCUUGACUUUGGGAUAACUUCAGGAAACUGGGGCUAAUACCGGAUAGGAGCUCCUGCUGCAUGGUGGGGGUUGGAAAGUUUCGGCGGUUGGGGAUGGACUCGCGGCUUAUCAGCUUGUUGGUGGGGUAGUGGCAUACCAAGGCUUUGACGGGUAGCCGGCCUGAGAGGGUGACCGGCCACAUUGGGACUGAGAUACGGCCCAGACUCCUACGGGAGGCAGCAGUGGGGAAUAUUGCACAAUGGGCGGAAGCCUGAUGCAGCAACGCCGCGUGCGGGAUGACGGCCUUCGGGUUGUAAACCGCUUUCGCCUGUGACGAAGCGUGAGUGACGGUAAUGGGUAAAGAAGCACCGGCUAACUACGUG